Molecule: long non-coding RNA, 1007 nt
Organism: Nicotiana tabacum (common tobacco)
Lineage: Eukaryota; Viridiplantae; Streptophyta; Magnoliopsida; Solanales; Solanaceae
Source: RefSeq, a predicted model, not a curated record
UCUUCAUAUACACAUUUUGAACUAACCUAGAAGAACCCCUAAAAAACAAUCAGCCGCAACAGUCCUUAAAAAAAGUCUAGAGAUCAGUAGCUAGAUCUUUUCUAAAAAACCCACCAGCCAGCCGUCACCAUCAACCCCAUCUCCGCCAGCACCCCACCCAACUCCCUCGAAGAUCUGACUCACCCCCACUUCCCUUCACCUCGUAGCUACCGGCGUCCAGCCGGAAAAACUCUAAGAACGCCUAGAACACACACCCAUAUAAAAAGACAUACACACAAAGAACGUCGGAAAUCAGCCACGCACCAGAUUAUCAAGCUGCGUCGAUCCUUUCACUCAUACGGGCUUCUACUGGCUUCUUCUUUUCUCUUGUUACCUACUGAUGCUACUGCCUUAGCACGCGUUGGUGGUGCAUCAGCGGCUGCAGCAUUGAACCAACAGAGUUGAGAUCGUAGUCUGAGGUUUCCGGAGAGAUUCGCGGUUCUGUCAAGGUCGUCGCCGAUUUGAGAUUUCUGUCGGGGCUUCCGAGUGACGGGACUGUUCAUUUUCAACCUCAUCGAUAUGUUCUUCUUAUAAACCAGUGGGAAGAUUUUUUGAUGUUCUGAAAGUUAUAAAAGAUUCUUUAAAAGAAGGUCUACCCCACUUGUAUGUCUUCAAGAAUUUUUGACAGUGUUAUUUGGAAUUCAUGUGGACUGAACGGGAAAGGACUCAAAGAAACUGCUUGCUCUACUGAUCUGAUUGGUGUAUCAUGUUGAGAGACACCCGGGACCAUCCAGUCAGGACCGUUGCAUUCAGGAGAUACUUAAGGAGAUUUUUUUUAUGUUUUGAGUCCGCUUUCCUUUUAUGUUGUCUUUUACUUUCUAGUCCUUUCUAAUAGUACUAAGUCUUUUAGGUGGUUUCAGAAUCUAUCAUAGUCUAGAUGAGUUUGUCGAGUUUUUUGUUAUCGUAUUUCUGAUUUUGUAUUCAAAAAAAAGUUGUAAAUGAUUAAUCCAAAAAGAUUUUUAUUUUUA